CCCGGAUCCACAUCACGUUAAUUUCCGGUCUGGGGUGAAAUCCAGGAGUUGGGCGGGGCCAAGAGCAGCACUGUUUCCGGGAGCCACGUCGGUUUACCAGCGACCCGCGCGGCAGGGACGUGGAAGCGCCGGAUUUGGACGCACGGGUUCAGGGAGAGGCUCCUUGCGGGCUUCGGUGCCAGUGGAGGCCCGCGGCGCCAGUGGGGUGUCUACCGCCGAGGAUUCCGGACACUGCCCUUGUCUAAGACAGGAACCUGGAAAGAGGAUUGUGUUGGCUGUUGGAAAAUGCCAAAGCAUGUCCCAGACCUCCCAGACCUGGAAAGGAACCUGUGCUGAACCAAGAGGUGUUUCAUAAGAGAGGGCUCUGACUCGCCUGGACCCCGGACCUUGGCUACAUAUAGCCAUGGCUACAGCUCAGAUUGCCUUCCUGAGAGAGGAUGAAGUGGGAUGGCAUCCUCAGGAGGCAAAUGCCUUUCCUAAUAAUAAAUAUUGUAUGAUUGCCCUAUUAUGAACUAAAUAUAUAUGUGAAAUAUAAAUAUAUUGUGUGAAAUGUGAAUAUGCAUAGAAUUGCAUGUAUGAGACUGUUUUUCUUUGAAGUUGAACAAAUGUAUCUUAAUAGUACUAAAUGUUAAUAUGAGACAAAAAAACCCACAUUAUUCUUAGUGAAGGAGAAAAGACAAAGAAUGCAACAUAUUAUAUGAUUUUAUCUAUAUAAAAUCUAAAUAUAAAUCAAUUUAUAAAGAUGGAUGGAGAUUAUUGGUUAUGUAGGUCUGAGGAAGGAAUGCUAAGGGGUGUGGAUUCUUUCUUUUUGGAGUAAUGAAAUGAUUCUAAAAUUUUUGAGAUGAUGAGUGUUCAACACUGUUAUUUUACUCAAAGUCAUUGAUUAUACACUUUAGAUAGAAUAGCCAGAAAUAGCAACUAUGUACAGUGGGGAAUGCAUAGAGAGAUUGAGAGGACAGGAAUUUUCUUGUUUGCCUGUUUUUUAUUUAUUGUUAUUACUGAAAUAUUGAAAAUUCUCUAAUUAAAGUGAUGAACUCUCAACUAUGUGAUUGUAGCAAAUACCAUUAAUUGUAUACUUUGGAUAAC
RNAcentral lists this long non-coding RNA (1086 nucleotides) under Dasypus novemcinctus (nine-banded armadillo). Its description in RNAcentral is "lncRNA (ENSDNOG00000051747.1)". The record is from RNAcentral. Lineage: Eukaryota; Metazoa; Chordata; Mammalia; Cingulata; Dasypodidae.